UGGGGAAUAUUGCACAAUGGGCGCAAGCCUGAUGCAGCCAUGCCGCGUGUAUGAAGAAGGCCUUCGGGUUGUAAAGUACUUUCAGCGAGGAGGAAGGCGUUGUGGUUAAUAACCGCAACGAUUGACGUUACUCGCAGAAGAAGCACCGGCUAACUCCGUGCCAGCAGCCGCGGUAAUACGGAGGGUGCAAGCGUUAAUCGGAAUUACUGGGCGUAAAGCGCACGCAGGCGGUCUGUCAAGUCGGAUGUGAAAUCCCCGGGCUCAACCUGGGAACUGCAUCCGAAACUGGCAGGCUAGAGUCUUGUAGAGGGGGGUAGAAUUCCAGGUGUAGCGGUGAAAUGCGUAGAGAUCUGGAGGAAUACCGGUGGCGAAGGCGGCCCCCUGGACAAAGACUGACGCUCAGGUGCGAAAGCGUGGGGAGCAAAUA
Molecule: ribosomal RNA, 427 nt
Filed under: uncultured bacterium
Lineage: Bacteria
Description: partial 16S ribosomal RNA
Rfam family: Bacterial small subunit ribosomal RNA
Source: RNAcentral